RNAcentral lists this long non-coding RNA (386 nucleotides) under Actinidia chinensis (golden kiwifruit). RNAcentral's name for it is "long non-coding RNA (ACHI_LNC001634)". Lineage: Eukaryota; Viridiplantae; Streptophyta; Magnoliopsida; Ericales; Actinidiaceae. The record is from RNAcentral.
UUGCAGGGAAUAUACAUAUUUUCUUUCACGAUAAAGGACAAAAACAAAAUUCUUACUCUUCUCAAUAGCCAAUCCAUAGUUUUUCAAAAUUUCUGCAAUGGAGACAACUGUGGAGAUAGCUGCAUAGAUUAUCAAAAAAAAAGGGACCAUCAUUAAAAUGCCAUAGAUAAACAAUAUAUUAUCAGAAAGUCCCCUCUAAUUAAUUUAAAGAACAAGAUACAGAGAACUAGCAAAACAACAACAUUCAAUCACACCAGAAAUAACAUGAAUAAAGUUCCACAAGUGUCAGCUUGACAUUUAUUGAAAAUCUUUCCCACGGAAAGUAAUUUAGUGACUUCUUUAUUUGAUAAGCAAGGCUGGCUCACAUUGUAACCUGUCAUUUCCUA